RNAcentral lists this ribosomal RNA (358 nucleotides) under uncultured bacterium. Its description in RNAcentral is "partial 16S ribosomal RNA". It matches the Rfam family "Bacterial small subunit ribosomal RNA", at positions 338 to 694 of the family's 1533-position model. The record is from RNAcentral.
CCUACGGGGGGCAGCAGUGAGGAAUAUUGGUCAAUGGGCGCGAGCCUGAACCAGCCAAGUCGCGUGAGGGAAGACUGUCCUAUGGAUUGUAAACCUCUUUUGUCGGGGAGUAAAAGUCGCCACGCGUGGCGUUUUGAGAGUACCCGAAGAAUAAGCAUCGGCUAACUCCGUGCCAGCAGCCGCGGUAAUACGGAGGAUGCGAGCGUUAUCCGGAUUUAUUGGGUUUAAAGGGUGCGUAGGCGGAAGUUCAAGUCAGCGGUAAAAUUGUGUGGCUCAACCUCUGCGAGCCGUUGAAACUGGUUUUCUGGGGUGGGGGAGAGGUAUGCGGAAUGCGUGGUGUAGCGGUGAAAGGCAUAGA